UCAGUGUUGCAUACAUACGGGCUUCAGCCUGCCUGUGCUCAUAGCAAACAAGAUUAAAAGUUGUUAAGUUUUUAUUUAAGUAUAUUAAAAGUUGUGGGAUGGGAGAAUCCACUUAAACUUGGAAAACAUUAAGAAAAAGAAAUUGUGUUAACAGCCAAUAUUAUUCCCUUUCCUGUUAGCUUACAGUUUUUCUAGAGAGACUGUUUUUCUUUUUUGCUUUUGCUUUUAGAAAAUCUUGUCUGACAGUCUUUUAGAGGUUAUUGAGGAUGAUAACUACUGGAGGACGACUGAAGAAGUCAGACUCUCCACUGCCUCUCUUGUACCUUGGACUUCUUGGAAGAUGUCACUGGACCUGCUGCAAAUGUUACUCGGUGCAAUAUCCUCCCCAAGUCAAUGUGUCUGCCCGGGUAGUUACCUGUUCCCAUAAUUUAUGUGUUUCACAGAUUUCUGUAAGUAUUCAUGGAACACUGUUGUACUCAUUUCACAAACUGAGAGACUGAUAGCGGAGAUAAAGGCUUCAUUCCCAAAUGUAAUUAACUGUAAGUCCAGCCUGUAGCCUUGCCAGUUCAAUACUGCCUUCCCCUUCACCUGCUGUCACUGAAGGUGUUGUGAAAAACAGGCAUCUCUAUUAACUUUCCACAGUAUUUAAAUGUCUUUGCUGUUGUGUCCAGAGCUGCAUAGAUUUUGAUUUUGGUGUGUUCCUUUGCCAACCUUGCUUGCAGACAUUGUCAACCAGGAUGUAUCUCAUGGAAAUCUUCCUGGCAUUAGUGAUAUAAAUAAAAAUGCUCUCCCUCUCUUCACAGUUCCAUACAUAGAAAACUCCUAAAGGAUUUGGGAACACUUCCUGUGGUGUAUAAAAUGAAUCAAAAAUCAUUGAGGCAAGGAAUCAGAUCCACUGUGCCCUUUACCUGACUUGCAACUGGUCUGCAUGUAUCACUGCCUCAGCUACAACUGGCUUAUGCCAGAAUUUUGAAAUUAUGCUAUUUCUACAUUUCCAUUCCCAUCUAAGUAGCAGCAAUCAGAUUUAACAUAGCGGAAUUUCAAAGACCGCUGAGCAAAUUUCAUUUUUGGUAUGGAACAUGGUAUCUCCCCCUCCCAAACAGUGAUCUAAGAAUAAGGGUGACAUUUCAUUUGCCUCUGUGAGAGUUAUGGGGGAUACUCACAUCAUUCCUACCUUUCCUCAGGAGUGACAGAGAACCCUCCCACUUCCUCUCAUGCUCCCUCUCAUCGGUUGCCUACAUUGUCUGUCCUCCAGAUAUUGCCUGUUUGGAAUAAGCUCACCACUUUCUCACCUCUUGCAUUGCAUUCACGUUCAUGUGUGUUGACACCUCUAAUGAAAGUACUACCAUUUUUUGGAGAUGCAACUGUAGUAUGUCGGUUUUGAAAUACUUAUUGGAAAAAAGUAGGGGGCUUUAAAAAGUAGGUAGGUUACUAAUGUAACCCUGACUUCCACUUGUGACUUUUCUUGCUGACAUAGCUGUUUCUGGCACUAUGUGGGCAUUUGUGUAUAUAUAUUUAUAUAUUAUACAAAGAAAAUAUGUGAGAAUAAAAACUCAAUAGCUUGCUGAAGGGACACUAUUGCAGGGAAAGAACCAGAGAUUGUACAGAAUCCUCUGUUCUCUAUGAAACAGGAAUGACUGUUAGGCUGAAAAAAUAGGCAAAAUUAUGGUCAAAUAUUUGAUGGAGUUUUUUGGGCUAUUUUUCACAGAUGUACAAUACCAGUGGAAAUUUCUAGCUGGAUCUGCCACCAUUUAACCCUCCCCACCCCCUCAUCUUUGAACUGAUUUUCUUCACUUUUGAUUCAUUCUCUAGAUUUUACUGAAGUUUGAAACCAAUGUAAAUCUCAGACUGUAGGCUUUAAUGUAACUUACUGUACAUGGGAGAUAAAGUAAAUAAAAUCUGUGCAAACUUGUACACUAUAUUGAUAUAACCAGAACCUUUUCUGGAGACUGUUAUACAAUAACACUUUUUACCAACUCUGGCAAAAUGAAUACUCCUGCUUUUUAUCAGUACUGCUCCAGCAAAAUGAGUUCCACAGACAUGUCUAUCCCAACCACUAGGUUAUCUAUUCAUUAUGUCAAAUAUAUUUAUAGAAAAAGAGUAGUUUAAGACAUAAGGGCAAAGCUAAGCUUAAACUUUCAGCCAUUACUGCUUUUCCUGUCCCAUGCAAUCUCUUAAUUUGAAAAGAAUGUAUGCUCCUUAACACUCGGCUUCACAUUCUGCUUUCCAGUAAGGGCUUGUCUGGUGAUCAGAGCACAGCAGAAAGGUUUUUCUCUCUUGGCCUUUGUAAUUCAGGUGUAAUUCUGUGUUAUUUUGUACAAUCCGCUGGCUUUAUCAUCUAAAACUGUUGUCACAGGUUUUUCCCUCUUACUUAGAAAACAGAUUAAGAAACUUCCUCCAGAUAUUCUAGAAUUAUUUAUCCUCUAUGAAUUUCUUCUGCCUCUAUGAAGUAUACAUUAAUUUUAAUUUAUAUUUGUGGUCUGUAUAAACGCAUAUCUUUCCUACAGAUGACCUAAAAAUUGUAUUUCUUGUUCAAUGGCAAUAUUUUUGCCUUUAUGUUAGAUGGGGUGUCAACCCAAUUAUAUAAGUUAAGAAGACUCCUUAUUUCUAUUUCAAAGUUGAAAAAGAAAGAUUAAUGGAACACUUCACUGUGAUUCAUAAUAUCCUUAGAAUUAAAUUAUUUCAUUUUAAUCAGGUGCACAUUAUUGAUAACACUGAAUCACAACUUUAGCAAUUCUUCAAAGAUAUUUUGCAUUAGGGGAAAGGGACUCAAAAUUCUGGGUGUUGCAACAUUUUAAGAGCUGUUAUACUUCAUUUUUUUGCUUUCUUUUCUCACUAGUUUCCUCCCUUUAUUCCUUCUGACAAUUUAUGUUUCUUAAAUACCCUUUCAAAAUAAUAUGAGUCAGGAAAAAAGUAAUUGGUAAUUCCAUACAUAUCCUCUAGCUCAAAUAAAUGUCAAUGCAAAUGCAGAAAACUAUACUGGACUAAAACAGUUAGAAAGAAGGAGGUUUGAGUGCUUUGUUUUCUUCAUACCAACACUUCCAUCUAUAUUCCAGAAAGAGGAGUGUCAUUUGACAAUUUAAUAUGAAGACCUAUUUCAUUUUGGAUAAUUUAAAAGCAAAAUUGCAGAACAACAUUUGGUAGCAGAUGAUUUACACAGUAUGCUUUAUUUUGCAUUGCAGUAUGUUUUUUAUAAAAAUUUCAAAAUUGAAAUCUAAGAUGUAUUGCAUAUCCCAUCUGCAGAAUGGCAUCUCAGAACAUUUAUUUUUAGUAUGCAGUAGCUUCUGAGACUUCAGGGUUAUUACUAUGGUAUUAUAGUAUAGUUUAUCAAAGGGAAUAUUAAAAGUAAAGGAGAGGAGAGCAAUCACUCUGCUGUAGGAAUACAAAAUCAUAUGGCUCAGUUUAGAGAAACAUGUUAGAUGUUAGUGUUCUAGCGAUAAUGGAGUUUAACAGCCUUCGUAGUGAGUCAGUGCUCAGUAAAUUGAAACAAUGAGAAAUACAGCUAAAACCCUGUGACCUACAUUUCUAGUAACUGUUGAUUCAGAGCCCUCAGCCUUUACAUAUACAAGACAAGGCACAGUGAAGAGGACUAGGUCUUUAAAAACAAGAUCUCUGGAAUGCUGUCGAAGUGGAGAUACUAAAAAUCAAGUCUUGCUUUUGAAAAAGUGUAUCACACUCUCAUAUCUGAUUAAAAAGUAGUGAGGAAAUCAUAUAAUUAGAAUGCAUACACUGUUACUUUCACUGAACUCUUUGACCUCAUACAGUUAAUUCAUUUGUGUGGCAAAGUCUUACAAUAUUGAUGAAAGAACAUUAAAAUAGCUUUUGAUCAAUAUCCGUUGAGCUGUAUGAAUUUAUACCAGUUGGGGUUUUGGCCCUCAAUCUCCAUGAAACCUUGAACUUCCACUGUACUGUAUUA
Molecule: long non-coding RNA, 3916 nt
Organism: Columba livia (rock pigeon)
Lineage: Eukaryota; Metazoa; Chordata; Aves; Columbiformes; Columbidae
Exons: 3
Source: RefSeq, a predicted model, not a curated record